RNAcentral lists this long non-coding RNA (632 nucleotides) under Olea europaea subsp. europaea. Lineage: Eukaryota; Viridiplantae; Streptophyta; Magnoliopsida; Lamiales; Oleaceae. The record is from RNAcentral.
CAUGCCUAUGUUUUCCAUUUACAGAUUAUUUCCAUCACAGUAUUCAUUUACCAUGUACAGCAUAUAGUUUCACCUAUAAAUGUAUGCACAAAUAUUGUAAAAUAUAUGAAGAGGAUUAUUAUAAUUUUUACAUCCUUCCUUCAUCAAUACCUUUGUUCAUCAAACUUUAUUAAGAACUCUAGAUUUACAGCAUUCAUCAGCCUUGUUUUCUCUUUGAGAAAGGAAUAUUGGUAGGGAAGGUAUCAUAGGAAGAUAUCAUUUCUUUCUCUGUAACAUCUGUACUUUGUUAACCUUCUGUUGGUAUCUGUAAACAAUAAAAAAGCCAAGAAAAAACUAAAAAUUUUCAGCUAAAUUAUAUUCUUAAUAAAGAAACACAAGAAAGAAUGCUCAAAGUAUUUUAAGAACGAACUUUGGAAACAGCAGGACAAGACAUUUUAAAUUGAAAUGAAUUAUUGAAGAAGUAUAUUGUUAUAGCUCCUUUUUAAUGAGUGAAAUUUUAUGCUAUUUCUUUCCUGCCUCCUCUCAAACUUGGAAAUUACCAUGAAUACUAGCUACACCAAUAUUUAACUUCUUGACUUUUAAAAAACUGAUGAAUAACACCACCAAGAAUAAUAUAUCUAUCUUGCUUUAAG